ACUCCUCAUCUCAUGCUUAUCUUCCCGAACCCCUCUCACAACUCCUCAUCUCAUGCCUAUCUUCCCGAACCCCUCUCACGCCCUCUCCUUCCAACUCCUACUCUCAUGUCCUCUCCAUCCAACUCCUCUCCAGCAAACCCCUCUCCGGCGAACUCCUCUCUGCAAACCUCCUCUCCACGAACCUCCUCUCCUCUGAAUUCCUUCUCCUCUUCGUCAAAUAGCAAAUACCCUAAUCACUCCGCUCUUGGAUCGCCGCCUCUGCACUAGAUCUACUCGCCGGUGGUUUCCUCUGCAGAAAUGGCAAAUGCUUGGAUUUCAAGAGCAUCAAAGUAUCGGAGUUCAGUUUGGAAGGUUAGCGACAAAUGGCCAGGUUAUAAUGCCAGUGACUCAGAUUCUGAUGAGGAGAAGAUUAACAUCAAAUCAUCAGCAGAAGGACCUGGUUCAUAAGUUUACAGAAGCGGAGUAUUCUCGAGAAGAAAUUGAUGAGGUGCGAUCGGAGUUAGCAGAAUGUAUACAAGAUCAUAUUUAUGAGUAGGUCAAACAAAAUAUGACUGACAGAACUCAUCAACUUCUAGAUGCUCGAUCAAAGGGCAGAUACACAGUGGUAGGUGUUUUGUCCCAGUCUCAAGC
This is a long non-coding RNA of Zingiber officinale, 630 nucleotides long. RefSeq lists it as uncharacterized. Lineage: Eukaryota; Viridiplantae; Streptophyta; Magnoliopsida; Zingiberales; Zingiberaceae. The transcript is spliced from 6 exons. The record is from RefSeq and is a predicted model, not a curated record.